CAGUCGCCGCGGUAAUACAGAGGGUGCGAGCGUUAAUCGGAUUUACUGGGCGUAAAGCGUGCGUAGGCGGCUUCUUAAGUCGGAUGUGAAAUCCCUGAGCUUAACUUAGGAAUUGCAUUCGAUACUGGGAAGCUAGAGUAUGGGAGAGGAUGGUAGAAUUCCAGGUGUAGCGGUGAAAUGCGUAGAGAUCUGGAGGAAUACCGAUGGCGAAGGCAGCCAUCUGGCCUAAUACUGACGCUGAGGUACGAAAGCAUGGGGAGCAAACAGGAUUAGUUACCCCUGUAGUCCCUGUCUCUUAUAC
This 301-nucleotide ribosomal RNA is filed under the name uncultured bacterium. RNAcentral's name for it is "partial 16S ribosomal RNA". It matches the Rfam family "Bacterial small subunit ribosomal RNA", at positions 509 to 807 of the family's 1533-position model. The record is from RNAcentral.